RNAcentral lists this long non-coding RNA (3896 nucleotides) under Malus domestica (apple). Its description in RNAcentral is "long non-coding RNA (MDOM_LNC010895)". Lineage: Eukaryota; Viridiplantae; Streptophyta; Magnoliopsida; Rosales; Rosaceae. The record is from RNAcentral.
AAGAACUAAGAAGACAUACAUACAAGUAUGAAAAAUGUGAAAGAACAUAUAAACACUCGUGAUUUAUCAUUAUUCCUCUACGAAUAGAUAAUUGUUACACUUAUAUUAUCGUUUAGAUUUUUAAAAUCCUUCAAACCCUCAUGAAUAAUGUCUUUUAUUUGGGGGCAAAAUUAAUAAAAUUAAUAAUAAUUAUUGUAGAAGUGUAAAAAAUGUAAAAAUAUAUAUAUACAAUCACUCAUAAAUAAAUAAAUGUAAAUGCUUUAAAUUAAAGAUCAAAUUUAUUCAUUACAUUCUUAUAGGGGUCGAGGAGUGUAUAUGUACAAAAUCAUCAAAAUCGAAGCUAAAAUAACCGUUAAAUUGUGAUUUUUCGUUUAUAACCGUCGAAAACUUUUGUUCCGUUACGUAAUCUUUGAAUGUUUGUUUUUUACGAUUUUUUAAGUUUGCAAUCUCGGAAUGUGUACAAAUAAGUUUGACGGUUGGAUCGUUGAAAAAAGUUUCGUAGAAUUCAUAUUGCGUCAAAACGGUAUAUUAAACAAACCCUUAGAGUUAAUAUUAUACUUCUAUUAAGUAUAACACUAGUUUUUGUGGUAUCCACUAGUGUAAAUACUUUAAAUUAAAGAUCAAAUUUAUUCAUUACAUUCUUAUAUGGUCGAGGAGUGUAUCUGUAAAAAAAUCAUCAAAAUCGGAGUUAAAAUAACCGUUAAAUUGUGAUUUUUCGUUUAUAACCGUCGAAAACUUUUGUUCCGUUACGUAAUCUCUGAAUGUUUGUUUUUUACGUUUUUUUAAGUUUGCAGUCUCAGAAUGUGUACAAAUAAGUUUGACGGUUGGAUCGUUGAAAAAAGUUUCAUAGAAUGCAUAUUGCGUCAAAAUGGUAUAUUAAACAAACACUUAGAGUUAAUAUUAUACUUCUAUUAAGUAUAAAAUAAGUUUUUGUGGUAUCCACUAGUGUAAAUACUUUAAAUUAAAGAUCAAAUUUAUUCAUUACAUUCUUACAGGGUCGAGGAGUCUAUCUGUAAAAAAUCAUCAAAAUCGAAGCUAAAAUAACCGUUAAAUUGUGAUUUUUCGUUUAUAAUCAUCGAAAACUUUUGUUCCAUUACGUAAUCUCUGAAUGUUUGUUUUGUACAAUUUUUUAUGUAUGCGAUCUUGGAAUGUGUACAAAUACGUUUGACGGUUAGAUCGUUGAAAAAAGUUUUGUAGAAUGCAUAUUGCGUCAAAACGAUUGAUUAAACAAACACUUAGAGUUAAUAUUAUACUUUUAUUAAGUAUAAAAUAAGUUUUUGUGGUAUCCACUAGUGUAAAUACUUUAAAUUAAAGAUCAAAUUUUUUCAUUACAUUCUUAUAUGGUCGAGGAGUGUAUCUGUACAAAAAAUCAUCAAAAUCGGAGUUAAAAUAACCAUUAAAUUGUGAUUUUUCGUUUAUAACCGUCGAAAACUUUUGUUCCAUUACGUAAUCUCUGAAUGUUUAUUUUUUACGAUUUUUUACGUAUGCAAUCUCAAAAUGUGUACAAAUAAGUUUGAUGGUUGGAUCGUUAAAAAAAGUUUCGUAGAAUCCAUAUUGCGUCAAAAUAGUAGAUUAAACAACCACUUAAAGUUAAUAUUAUACUUCAAUUAAGUAUAAAAAAAAAAUUUUGUGGUAUAUACUUUAAAUUAAAGAUCAAAUUUAUUCAUUACAUUCUUAUAGGGUCGAGGAGUGUAUCUGUAAAAAAAUCAUCAAAAUCGGAGAUAAAAUAACCGUUAAAUUGUGAUUUUUCGUUUAUAACCGUCAAAAACUUUUGUUCUAUUAUGUAAUCUCUGAUUGUUUGUUUUUUAUGAUUUUUACGUAUGUGAUCUCGGAAUGUGUACAAAUAAGUUUGACGGUUGGAUCAUUGAAAAAAGUUUCGUAGAAUGCAUAUUGCAUCAAAACGGUAGAUUAAACAAAUACUUAGGGUUAAUAUUAUACUUUUAUUAAGUAUAAAAUAAGUUUUUGUGGUAUCUACUAGUGUAAAUACUUUAAAUUAAAGAUCAAAUUUAUUCAUUUCAUUCCUAUAGGGUUGAGGAGUGUAUUUGUAAAAAAUCAUCAAAAUCGGAGCUAAAAUAACCGUUAAAUUGUGAUUUUUCGUUUAUAACCGUCGAAAACUUUUGUUCUAUUACUUAAUCUCUGAAUGUUUGUUUUUUAUGAUUUUUUUACUUAUGCGAUCUCGGAAUGUGUACAAAUAAGUUUGACGGUUGGAUCAUUGAAGAAAGUUCUGUAGAAUGCAUAUUGCGUCAAAACAGUAGAUUAAACAAACACUUAGAGUUAAUAUUAUACUUCUAUUAAGUAUAAAAUAAGUUUUUGUGGUAUUCACUAGUGUAAAUACUUUAAAUUAAAGAUCAAAUUUAUUCAUUACAUUCUUAUAGGUCGAGGAGUCUAUCUGUAAAAAUUCAUCAAAAUCGGAGAUAAAAUAACCGUUAAAUUGUGAUUUUUCGUUUAUAACCGUCGAAAACUUUUGUUCCAUGACGUAAUCUUUGAAUGUUUUUUUUUUACGAUUUUUUACUUAUGCGAUCUCGGAAUGUGUACAAAUAAGUUUGACGGUUGGAUCGUUGAAAAAAGUUUCGUAGAAUGCAUAUUGCGUCAAAACAGUAGAUUAAACAAACACUUGGAGUUAAUAUUAUACUUCUAUUAAGUAUAAAAUAAGUUUUUGUGGUAUCCACUAUUGUAAAUACUUUAAAUUAAAGAUCAAAUUUAUUCAUUACAUUCUUAUAGGGUCGAUGAGUGUAUCUGUAAAAAAUCAUCAAAAUCGGAGCUAAAAUAACCGUUAAAUUGUGAUUUUUCGUUUAUAACCGUCGCAAACUAUUGUUCCAUUACGUAAUCUCUGAAUGUUUGUUUUUUACAAUUUUUUACGUAUGCAAUCUUGGAAUGUGUACAAAUAAGUUUGAUGUUGGAUCGUUGAAAAAAGUUUUUGGACAGCCAGCAAUAGAUAAUUUUGUAGUAGUGAAACCUUAAAUUUAUUUAACCGUCGAUUAUCAUUUACGCUUUAUUCUUCUUACUGAAUUUCAUUUUUAAAAUUUUAUUUUUUGAAAACAUGAUCAUCUAGCAGAUGUAAGAAGAUGAUAUCACGUUUCGAUAUUUACGGUUAACUGAAAUAUGAGUCAAUGUCAUAUAAUUUGUAGAAACUUUAUAAACAUCAAGCAAUAUUUUCACUAACCGUAAAACUCUAAAUAUAAUAUCAACGAUUCAAACCGUUCAUCUACAUGCACCCUCUAAUAGAUCAUGUUUUCAAAAAAGAAAAUCUAAAAAAACGAAAUUUGAUGAGAACAAUGAAGCAUAAAUGUAAACAACAAUCAACGGUUAAAUUUUGAUCUAUGAUUUAUAUGAUUAUAGUAGCGAAUUUCGAAGUUAAGCUCUUUAUGAAAGUUAUAAAGCUUGUCAUUACGAGUGUUUAUAUAUUUUUUUUCUAUAUUUUUUUACACUUCUACAUUAAUUAAAAAACUAUUAAAGACUUUAGGUAAGCGAAAAUAUACUUAAAACAAAAUUGCGUUUUUAUGUUUUGGAUGUGAUAAUAUGGAAUGUAUAUACUUAUUUAGUAUUAUGUUUUUCAUUUGAUUAUUUAUUAGUUUAAAAUAUAUUUUCCUUAACGGGUAACAUGUCGGGUCAUAUUACCUGUUAAUAUUAUCGGGUCGAUUUCGGGUCGGGUCAUUUUACCCGUUUAUUUUAACGGGUGUUACACGACACGACCCGUUAAGAUAUUGGGUAUGACACAAAAACGACACGAACACGGAAAACACGACACAAAUGUCAGGUCUACUUUUACUCAGACAAAAUCUUCUCCAUUUACCCUUUAUCUAAGGAACACAAGUUGAAUUCUUGAAUUCUUCUCUAGAGAUAUAUCUGGUAUUUUUCCCUUUUCAAAUAUCUUUUCAAUUAUUGAAUUCUUUGUU